GGGAACUCCGAGCAUUACCUUAAAACCCAAAGGACUUGGCGGUGCCAAAUACCCCCUAGAGGAGCCUGUUCUAAAACCGAUAAUCCCCCUUCAACCUCACCUUUUCUUGUUAAAACCGCCUAUAUACCGCCGUCGUCAGCAUACCCUGUGAAGGAAACAUAGUAAGCAAAACUGGUAUAACCCACAACGCCAGGUCGAGGUGUAGCAAAUGAAAAGGAAAGAAAUGGGCUACAUUUCCUCCCACAGGACAUACGAAUUGUACUAUGAAAUAAUACAUGAAGGUGGAUUUAGCAGUAAGCAGAAAGCAGAGCGUUCCGCUGAACCCGGACCUAAAGCGCGCACACACCGCCCGUCACUCUCCCCAAGUUCUAAAACUCCUAUUACUAAAACCCUACUAGAAUAAAGGGGAGGCAAGUCGUAACAUGGUAAGUGUACCGGAAGGUGUACUUGGUAAAAC
RNAcentral lists this ribosomal RNA (457 nucleotides) under Belonesox belizanus (pike killifish). RNAcentral describes it as "partial 12S ribosomal RNA". It matches the Rfam family "Bacterial small subunit ribosomal RNA", at positions 875 to 1527 of the family's 1533-position model. The record is from RNAcentral. Lineage: Eukaryota; Metazoa; Chordata; Actinopteri; Cyprinodontiformes; Poeciliidae.